This 119-nucleotide ribosomal RNA is filed under the name Pteropus alecto (black flying fox). The record is from RNAcentral. Lineage: Eukaryota; Metazoa; Chordata; Mammalia; Chiroptera; Pteropodidae.
GUCUACAGCCAUGUUACCCUGAACAAGCCCGAUUCCAUCUGAUCUUGAAAGUUAAAAAGGAUCAGGCCUGGUUAGUACUUGGAUAGGAGACCACCUAGGAAGACCAGGUGCUGUAGGCG